RNAcentral lists this ribosomal RNA (487 nucleotides) under uncultured bacterium. Its description in RNAcentral is "bacterial SSU rRNA". It matches the Rfam family "Bacterial small subunit ribosomal RNA", at positions 26 to 507 of the family's 1533-position model. The record is from RNAcentral.
AGGACGAACGCUGGCGGCGUGCUUAAUACAUGCAAGUCGAGCGAGGUUACUGUUUUGGAUCCCUUCGGGGUGAAGAAGCUUUAACCUAGCGGCGGACGGGUGAGUAACGCGUGGGUAACCUACCCCAAAGUCCGGGAUAACAGCGGGAAACCGCUGCUAAUACCGGAUGUCUUUACCUUGGGGCAUCUUGAGGUAAAGAAAGGUAACGCUUUGGGAUGGGCCCGCGUCCCAUUAGCUAGUUGGUGAGGUAACGGCUCACCAAGGCGACGAUGGGUAGCCGGCCUGAGAGGGUGGACGGCCACACUGGGACUGAGACACGGCCCAGACUCCUACGGGAGGCAGCAGUAGGGAAUAUUGCGCAAUGGACGGAAGUCUGACGCAGCGACGCCGCGUGAGCGAUGAAGGUCUUCGGAUCGUAAAGCUCUGUCCUUGGGAAGAAGGCGAAAGCUUGACGGUACCCAAGAAGAAAGCCCCGGCUAACUACGUG